UAGUACGGCGAGUGAAGCGGGAAGAGCUCAAGCUUAAAAUCUCCGUGCAAGUUUUGUGCGGCGAAUUGUAGUCUAUAGAAGCGUGGUCAGCAUGGGCACUUGGGGCAAGUUCCUUGGAAGAGGACAGCAUGGAGGGUGAUACUCCCGUUCAUUUCUGAGUUGCUCGUGCGUACGACCCGUUUUCUUUGAGUCGCGUUGUUUGGGAAUGCAGCGCAAAGUAGGUGGUAAAUUCCAUCUAAAGCUAAAUAUUGGUGCGAGACCGAUAGCGAACAAGUACCGUGAGGGAAAGAUGAAAAGAACUUUGAAAAGAGAGUUAAAGAGUACCUGAAACUGCUGAAAGGGAACCGAAUCGUUUCCAGUGUCUAUAAUCCGUGGUAUAUUUCAUUGGCGAGUGUGUGCGUGCGUGUGCUGUGGCAGCGGCUUUUUUGGCUGCGCUCGGCGUGUGUGCUGUGUGUGCUUGCUGGUGCUCUGUGCUGCGGUGGGACGUCAAGGUCAGUUCGUAUGCUGCGGGAAAUGGCUGCCGAGGAGGUAGGGCUUACGCUUGCGUUUGUCUGUUAUAUCUUGGUGGACGAGUAGUCGCGGUUGGGACUGAGGUGCCUACAACGUGCUUUUGAGUGGGUUUGUGUCUCCGUGUACGCCGUGUGCGGAUAGCUUGCUAUGCGUGUGUGGUUGUGUGUGGAUUGAUGCGAGCUUUAACUUGUUGCCGUUC
RNAcentral lists this ribosomal RNA (709 nucleotides) under Phytophthora nicotianae (black shank of tobacco agent). RNAcentral describes it as "Phytophthora parasitica partial 28S ribosomal RNA". It matches the Rfam family "Eukaryotic large subunit ribosomal RNA", at positions 81 to 628 of the family's 3401-position model. The record is from RNAcentral. Lineage: Eukaryota; Oomycota; Peronosporomycetes; Peronosporales; Peronosporaceae.